Molecule: long non-coding RNA, 643 nt
Filed under: Nothobranchius furzeri (turquoise killifish)
Lineage: Eukaryota; Metazoa; Chordata; Actinopteri; Cyprinodontiformes; Nothobranchiidae
Description: lncRNA (ENSNFUG00015001016.1)
Source: RNAcentral
UCAUCAGUCCAAAUAUGAAGCAUCAACAUCUACACCAUUGAAGCGCCAACUGUGUAUUUCUGCAACACCAAUGCCAGCUCUGUCUAGCAUUCAUGGAGAAUCAUCUGAAAGGGAUGAUAAUUUGGAGGAGGUGAUGGAACAAGGUGAAACUAAAAAAGAAGGAUCUUCACAAAUGUUAUCUUGUGAGGGAAUUGAAGCAAACAUUGACGAGGAAGAGUUCAACAAUAUUCAAAACUCUGUGAUAGAGUCAUCAGAUGACACAUGGUCACCAAACAGAGAACCAGAAGUUGAUUCGUCUUCAGAGGAGGACGAAACCAUCGAGAUGGACAGCGGUACUGAUGACAGCGGUGAUGAGGACUACACACCUUAUACACACAUAAGGACUGGAGCAGCAUUACAAAAAACAUUACAACUUGAGACUCUGCAAGAAAUUAACAUAGAGGAUACAGUUCAUGACUGUAAUAUCCCAGAAGCAACUGACCGACGUUUGACAAGCAAGAAAGGUCUUCCUCGACGCUACAAGCUAAGGCCUGAGGAUCCAAGGCGUUAUGGUUUGCUGUCCGGAGUUCCUGCACCAUCAACAGAGGAACUUCUACAACACCUACGGACUUGCGGUGAUGGUAAAACUUUGCCACAGACAUAG